CUAAACAACUAGAUCAAGUACAAUUAAGCGCCCAGAAAAUUGCUUAAAUAACAUACAUGAUCAAUACGAUGCACACAAGUGCACUACAACUAAGAGCAAGAACCACGAGUGGAUGUACAAGUGUAUAAAGAGAGAUAGUCUAACUAUUACAACCAUUCAAUAGUUACAUCAUUUGGUUACAUUACAUUUUCAUCUUCCAAAAUGUAGAUACAUGUUUUUCCCAAAAUACAUCAUAGCUCUCCAAUGCCUAUCCAAAAUAUACAUCUUCUAGUACACGAGGGUACUCUAUAUGCAAAAAGGAAAGCUACUAACUACUCACUUAGGGCGCUAUGCCCUUGCCGCGAUCCUCGCUCGGCUCGCCCCUGUGUGUACCUGUACCCCAAAACCACAUGGGGUGAGAACUAUAUAAAAAUAGUUCCCAGUGGGUUCGGCCGCCGACUCCGCCGGUUUUCCCACUAGGUCUAAGCUGGCACAGAUAGAGAGAUAGAUAGAUAGAUAGAGAAAUAAACUGCAACUACUCUAUCAUGCCACCAAUGAUAACGAUGCAUGCAACAACUACUAUCAUGCUAGUAUCAUGUCAUGAGUAUAGAAAAGUACAUAGCAAUGCAAACUACAACAUACACUAUGUCUACUCAAGGUAAUAAUGCAAGUCUACUAUGCAUUUCAUGUUUAUUACCCAAUCUACUUGGCUAACCCGUAGGUUAAGCCCUCGACUCACUCUCAAUCUCAUAGGUGAGGAGAAGCUGCACUCGCACACCGAGACCGUCUGCGGGACAACUACGUCUGCCCCUAGUGAAGUACUCCGGAGACUCGUGCCUCGGUGGAGCGACCACCGACAAGCAAAAACAGACUAGUGAGUAUGAUC
Molecule: long non-coding RNA, 865 nt
Filed under: Ananas comosus (pineapple)
Lineage: Eukaryota; Viridiplantae; Streptophyta; Magnoliopsida; Poales; Bromeliaceae
Description: long non-coding RNA (ACOM_LNC040281)
Source: RNAcentral